Sarcophilus harrisii (Tasmanian devil) is the source of this 479-nucleotide long non-coding RNA. RefSeq lists it as uncharacterized. The transcript is spliced from 3 exons. Lineage: Eukaryota; Metazoa; Chordata; Mammalia; Dasyuromorphia; Dasyuridae. The record is from RefSeq and is a predicted model, not a curated record.
CAGAUAUACAUGCAGGUAAUGGAGUCUCCUGGGGCUAUACCAAGCCAUAGCAACCUUGGAAACAGGAUUCCAGACUGAAUGUUGCUACCAGCCCUUCCGGGAGCCAGGAGAAACUGGGGUGCCAGAACACAAAGGAUGGAAUUUGCAUUUGAAAGUUGGUGGGAUCCUGCUGCAUAAGAACUGAAUUAAUCUGUGUACCUAAUCCUCCUCCUUUCUCAGUUGACCAAGUAAAGAACCGCCCAAACACUGAGCUAGGACGGGCAAUGAUACUUCCCAGACCAUUAAUCCUGCUUCAAGAAUGGAAGUAAUCACCAACCUACUGUCUUGCAUUCCUCAUGAAGAAAAGACAGAAGAGAGAGAAGGAGAAACAGACAGAGUGAAGGAGGGAGGAAUGCAGGGAAGGAAGAAUUGAGGUAAGGUUUUGUGGUUGUUUUCAGGAUGAAGGAAACAUGGAUAUGUUUGUAGGCAGUAGAGAAGGA